UACAGAGGUCUCAAGCGUUGUUCGGAUUCAUUGGGCGUAAAGGGUGCGUAGGCGGCGCGGUAAGUCGGGUGUGAAAUCUCGGAGCUUAACUCCGAAACUGCAUUCGAUACUGCCGUGCUUGAGGACUGGAGAGGAGACUGGAAUUUACGGUGUAGCGGUGAAAUGCGUAGAUAUCGUAAGGAAGACCAGUGGCGAAGGCGGGUCUCUGGGCCGAUACUGACGCUGAGGGGCGAAAGCGUGGGGAGCAAACAGG
Molecule: ribosomal RNA, 253 nt
Filed under: uncultured bacterium
Lineage: Bacteria
Description: partial 16S ribosomal RNA
Rfam family: Bacterial small subunit ribosomal RNA
Source: RNAcentral